RNAcentral lists this ribosomal RNA (497 nucleotides) under uncultured bacterium. RNAcentral describes it as "partial 16S ribosomal RNA". It matches the Rfam family "Bacterial small subunit ribosomal RNA", at positions 28 to 507 of the family's 1533-position model. The record is from RNAcentral.
GAUGAACGCUGGCGGCGUGCCUAAUACAUGCAAGUCGAGCGAACAGAUGAGGAGCUUGCUCCUCUGACGUUAGCGGCGGACGGGUGCGUAACACGUGGAUAACCUACCUAUAAGACUGGGAUAACUUCGGGAAACCGGAGCUAAUACCGGAUAAUAUAUUGAACCGCAUGGUUCAAUAGUGAAAGACGGUUUUGCUGUCACUUAUAGAUGGAUCCGCGCCGCAUUAGCUAGUUGGUAAGGUAACGGCUUACCAAGGCAACGAUGCGUAGCCGACCUGAGAGGGUGAUCGGCCACACUAGAACUGAGACACGGUCCAGACUCCUACGGGAGGCAGCAGUAGGGAAUCGUCCGCAAUGGGCGAAAGCCUGACGGAGCAACGCCGCGUGAGUGAUGAAGGUCUUCGGAUCGUAAAACUCUGUUAUGAGGGAAGAACAAAUGUGUAAGUAACUAUGCACGUCUUGACGGUACCUAAUCAGAAAGCCACGGCUAACUACGUG